Larimichthys crocea (large yellow croaker) is the source of this 1882-nucleotide long non-coding RNA. RefSeq lists it as uncharacterized. The record is from RefSeq and is a predicted model, not a curated record. The transcript is spliced from 2 exons. NCBI's taxonomy places the organism in Eukaryota, Metazoa, Chordata, Actinopteri, Sciaenidae.
ACAACUGUUGUAACUUUUCCUUCAAAAUUGCUUUAUUUAUUCCCAUAUUUUUUUUUAUUUUUCAAGCGAAGUUUCUUUUUUUUAUAUUAAUGUAAUUAAAAAAAGAUAAAACUUGGGAUCUUUUUUCUGUCUUUUAUGUACAAGCAAGAAAAAAAAAAACAAACAAACAACAUGUUUAGGAAAUAACAGUGAACAUAAAAGAAUCCCUGCACGAUAACACUGUAAAAAAAAAAAAAAAAAAAAGAAAACAAAAAGCAUUAGAGUGGAAUCAAACACCUGUAAAGUUUACAGCUCCUUACUUUAGCAACAAGCUCACUAGCUCUCGUUCACACACACACACACACACACACACACACACACACACACACACACACACACACACACACAAAGCAGGAUGUCAGCAGGUAUAAGUGUACGUGAGGUGGGAGUGUUCACACUACACAGCGCAGCCAAUGUUCUCAUUAGAAGGAAUGGAAAAGACGAUAUACUGAAUCAUUCACACACACACCGAUGGUCCAGUGUGUCAACAAUACUGAUUCUCAAACUCUCACACACUCUAACACUGCCGUCGUCGACUCUUAAACACAUGCAGUCCAACGCGGGGGCCAGUUUAUGGCACGGUACGGUCAAGUUUCCUUAUUUUGGUUUUCCCAACAUGCGUGAUCGAAGGCGUUAUUCCUAUCAGACUCACACACACACACACACACAUACACGAUAAGAGCGCACUGCUGGUGUUCCACCGUUUUACAGUGUGUCACUUGGUAACCGUAAAUCAGCUGCGUGAUUCGUUUUGAUCAGAUUAUGGAGUGGCGAUCGUGUACAGAAGCCCAUUUUUAAUAAAAACAAAGUGAAAAUAUGAGAUUAAAAGUUACUUAAAAAAAAAAAAAGGUCCAGUGUCAGAUUUGAGGUGCUCUAUUUACAGAAUAUGACAAAAUAUAAACAUGUAUAACUGUUUUUUUUUUAGUGUGUCAUGACAUGAAAAUAAGAAUCUUUAUGGUUUUGUUACCUUAAAUUAAGAGUCGGCUCUUGAUAGGACCUUUUCUCAGGGCAUAUUUUACAGCCAUUGUAAGAGGAGGGUGAGGCGACAGGGUUGCAAUCAGCAACUACACCGCUAGACGCCACGAAAUCUUGCACACUGGUCCUUUAAUAUCUCAUAAUUUUACUUAAAAAACUGACUUUUUAAUGUGAGAAUUCUGAUUCGACCUCAGUCAGUCAAACUCUUAAAAUUUUGUCAUUAUUUGGACUUUUUUUUUUAUACAAGUCAAAACAUUAAGUCAGUGUUUUUUUUUUUGUCUGAUAAUUUAGAACUACAAGUUUGACUUCCAAAUUUAGAAAUCUAAUCUAAUAACUAACCACAUUAAGAGCAGCAGGUAGUUUUAAUGAAACCUUAAAGUACUGCCUGGCGAAAGUGGGCCUCCGUACAGGAGAUUAUACGAUUCUGAGAAAUAGCAGCAAGUUCAGACAAACGCACGAAAAUUUUGAAAACAAUUCAGUGUCACUCGACUUUGAACUUUCACCGUGCGAUCAAACAAAUUCUGAGGUAAGAAAAGGAAACGACGGGGGGCGCGACUCAGACAGAAUCCGGCGGAGAAGUCCUGUUGUGUUCUGGCUUUGUUUAUUUCACGUACCCGGCGUCUAAACUGUGAGUCUGACUCAGAAUUUACGCUGUAAAAUAAAAGAGAUACGAAGUUUAAUUUGGUUAGUGAGCGUGAGGGAGCGCCAAUUAUCGAUGAAGCCGGUUAAUUGGCGAGAUAAAAAGUUAUUUCCCGAUUGUUUUACGGCGGUUGCGUUCAGCCCGGAUUCUGUCUGAAUGGACCCUGAAUGCAGUUAAAUAACCGUGAAUUUUCACUUUCAAGUAAGGAAACAGCUCCUUUAAAUUAAC